This 641-nucleotide ribosomal RNA is filed under the name Micromonospora sp. I15A-00808. Its description in RNAcentral is "bacterial SSU rRNA". It matches the Rfam family "Bacterial small subunit ribosomal RNA", at positions 100 to 756 of the family's 1533-position model. Lineage: Bacteria; Bacillati; Actinomycetota; Actinomycetes; Micromonosporales; Micromonosporaceae. The record is from RNAcentral.
GAACGGGUGAGUAACACGUGAGCAACCUGCCCCAGGCUUUGGGAUAACCCCGGGAAACCGGGGCUAAUACCGAAUAUGACCUCUGACCGCAUGGUUGGUGGUGGAAAGUUUUUCGGCUUGGGAUGGGCUCGCGGCCUAUCAGCUUGUUGGUGGGGUGAUGGCCUACCAAGGCGACGACGGGUAGCCGGCCUGAGAGGGCGACCGGCCACACUGGGACUGAGACACGGCCCAGACUCCUACGGGAGGCAGCAGUGGGGAAUAUUGCACAAUGGGCGGAAGCCUGAUGCAGCGACGCCGCGUGAGGGAUGACGGCCUUCGGGUUGUAAACCUCUUUCAGCAGGGACGAAGCGUAAGUGACGGUACCUGCAGAAGAAGCGCCGGCCAACUACGUGCCAGCAGCCGCGGUAAGACGUAGGGCGCGAGCGUUGUCCGGAUUUAUUGGGCGUAAAGAGCUCGUAGGCGGCUUGUCGCGUCGACCGUGAAAACUUGGGGCUCAACCCCAAGCCUGCGGUCGAUACGGGCAGGCUAGAGUUCGGUAGGGGAGACUGGAAUUCCUGGUGUAGCGGUGAAAUGCGCAGAUAUCAGGAGGAACACCGGUGGCGAAGGCGGGUCUCUGGGCCGAUACUGACGCUGAGGAGCGA